This 253-nucleotide ribosomal RNA is filed under the name uncultured prokaryote. RNAcentral describes it as "partial 16S ribosomal RNA". It matches the Rfam family "Bacterial small subunit ribosomal RNA", at positions 525 to 777 of the family's 1533-position model. The record is from RNAcentral.
ACGAACCGUGCAAACGUUGUUCGGAAUCACUGGGCUUAAAGGGCGCGUAGGCGGGCAAGACAGUCGAAGGUGAAAGCCCACGGCUCAACCGUGGAAGUGCCUCCGAUACUUCUUGUCUCGAGGGAGAUAGGGGCGUGCGGAACUUCCGGUGGAGCGGUGAAAUGCGUAGAUAUCGGAAGGAACACCGGUGGCGAAAGCGGCGCGCUGGAUCUCUUCUGACGCUGAGGCGCGAAAGCCAGGGGAGCAAACGGGA